RNAcentral lists this ribosomal RNA (954 nucleotides) under Tremella everniae. Its description in RNAcentral is "eukaryotic LSU rRNA". It matches the Rfam family "Eukaryotic large subunit ribosomal RNA", at positions 1 to 950 of the family's 3401-position model. The record is from RNAcentral. Lineage: Eukaryota; Fungi; Basidiomycota; Tremellomycetes; Tremellales; Tremellaceae.
GACCUCAAAUCAGGUAGGACUACCCGCUGAACUUAAGCAUAUCAAUAAGCGGAGGAAGAGAAACUAACAAGGAUUCCCCUAGUAGCGGCGAGCGAACCGGGAUGAGCUCAAAUUUGUAAUCUGGCGUCCAACGGUCGUCCGAGUUGUAAUCUAUAGAAACGCUUUCCGUGCCGGAUCGUGUCCAAGUCCCUUGGAACAGGGUAUCAAAGAGGGUGACAAUCCCGUGCUUGACACGACGACCGGUGCUCUGUGAUGCGUUUUCUACGAGUCGAGUUGUUUGGGAAUGCAGCUCAAAAUGGGUGGUAAAUUCCAUCUAAAGCUAAAUAUUGGCGAGAGACCGAUAGCGAACAAGUACCGUGAGGGAAAGAUGAAAAGCACUUUGGAAAGAGAGUUAAACAGUAUGUGAAAUUGUUGAAAGGGAAACGAUUGAAGUCAGUCGUGUCGGGAAGGCUCAGCCGGUAAUGCGGUUCACUCCUCCCCGACGGGUCAACAUCAGUUUUGACCGGCGGAUAAUGGCUGUAGGAAGGUAGCACCCUCGGGUGUGUUAUAGCCUGCUGUCGCAUACGUCGGUUGAGACUGAGGAAUGCAGCUCGCCCUCACGGGCCGGGGUUCGCCCACGUCCGAGCUUAGGAUGUUGACGUAAUGGCUUUAAACGACCCGUCUUGAAACACGGACCAAGGAGUCUAACAUAUCUGCGAGUGUUUGGGUGUCAAACCCGGGCGCGCAAUGAAAGUGAACGUAGGAGGGAUGCGCAAGCAGCACCUUUGACCGAUCUGGAUCUUCUGUGAUGGAUUUGAGUAAGAGCAUAUAUGCUGGGACCCGAAAGAUGGUGAACUAUGCCUGAAUAGGGCGAAGCCAGGGGAAACUCUGGUGGAGGCUCGUAGCGAUUCUGACGUGCAAAUCGAUCGUCAAAUUUGGGUAUAGGGGCGAAAGACUAAUCGAACCAUCUAGUAG